CUUGUUAACCAAAUUAAAGGAAUGUUCCGGGCAGGGAUGCAAACUACUUACCUUUCAGCUAAAGUCACCUUUUCUUAAGCUAAUUUUCCCAAGUUGUUAGGUAAAAUUUUCCUUAAAAUCACUUGAAAGGGUUACUUUAAGCGUAAACAAAAUCAUUACAACAAACAAAUCAACAUAAAUUAUAAAUCUGGGACACCUGCUAGGACUUUCUCACUUUUUUUCCAUCGCUCAUGAGUUUGCAUCCCUGGUUAUGGGUUCAAUACAAGUUAAGCUGUAUCGACCACCUUUGUGGCAUGAUGGUAAUUACCCCAAAAAAAUUUGAUUUGUUCCUCCUUUAAAAUAAAUUGAAGUUACAGUUUUAGGCACUUACAAUGGAAGUGAAAUGAGGCAAUUUUUUUUUUGAGGGUUUAAAGGCGGAAAUGUAAAGCUUAUUUCAUAAAAACAAAGUAAUUCUUCUGUUAAAACUUGUGGUUAAUUUGUGCUGUGAAGUUCUUUAAAUUGCCGUUUUAGUCACGUUUGUGACUGUCAUUACGACAAAGUUGUAAAAUUGGGUAACUUUACACGGAAAAGGUCAAUAAGUGAUUUUAUCACACUAAAAUUAUGUUAACGCAUGUUUACAUCUUGCGGCUAUAUUUUUUUAAACUGAUUAUUUGAACAUUUACUGAUUGGCCCCAUUCACAUUCAUUAUAAGUGCCUCACUACUGUUACCCAGAUUUUUUUUUUUUUUUUUACAUAAAGAAAAUGGACAUGGGGCCUUUAUGUGUAUCUUACCUUUUGGAACGUUCUUCAUGUUGGGAGUGUGCCUAUUUUGCUUUAUAGUGCUACCUAUGUAAGCCAAUAACCAGGUUUUGGUUUCCUUUUAUUAUAUUAGGUUUGUACAGAGGAAAUACUAUUCCUUCACUGAGCAGAUAUUAUUAAGAGGUGACAAUCACCUUUCCAGACUCCUACUUGUGUGUGUAUUCUGAGUCUCAGCUGAAAAACUUAUGAUGUCAUUACAGUAAAUGUGCUUCCUCAUCACCUAAGCUGUCACAGAGUCAUACCUCAUCACUCAAAGGGGCCACUGACCCAACUAAACUCAUGAUAUGUCUGGAUGAUGUGUUGAAGUUUUUGUGUAACUUGUGUAGACAUUAUCCAAUGUUAUUUCACUUAUCCAUUAUUUGAUUUAUACCAAAAAAGUAAACUGUAAUGUUUGCAAGGCCACAAGAACUAUACUGAACAAAAAUAUGAACGCAACAUGCAACAAUUUCAAAGAUUUUACUGAGUAACAGUUCAUUUAAGGAAAUCAGUCAGUUGAAAUAAAUUCAUUAGGCCCUAAUCUUGCGUAUGGAAAAUUUCUGGGAUCUUUUAUUUCAGCUCAUGAAACAUGGGACCAACACUUUACAUGUUGCGUUUAUAUUUUUAAGUGUAUAUAUUUUCUCUCAAUCCUGGCUAUGUCAUACUAGUUUAAUAUGUGGCAGUGGGAGAGCAGUCACAUGUCUAAAAUGAGCUCAUUGGCCUUUGCAGUGUUCUUGUUCGUCUAUCUCUUAACGAGAUUAUGUUGAACUUGUAAGCAGCAAGGGGACAGGUGAAGAACUAGAAUUCACAGCAAACGUCAUGGCCUGUGAAGACCAACAAGUGCUCAGCAGCAACAGAACAGAAAACAGCGAGAAUGGCUCAGAGGAAGAGUCAAGACAAGAGGACCAAAUGGCCUGGGAGGAGCUGUCCAUUAUGGAGAGGCUCAGUUCCAACAGUGUUGACAUGACGGAGGAAGAAUUAGAGACUGCUUUCUCUCAGCUGUCCCUGGCUUUCCGCUGUGACCAGUACACCCUGUGCCAGAGACUGGAGGCUGAGGAACAUGCACGGGACAAGGCUGAGGACAACCUCAAACUGGAAGUGGAAAGAGGCAUGGAAAUGCUUGAGACUCUUAAGGGAAUGUGUUUAGACAUCAAGCGGGCCAGGCUUCUCCAGCAACUUGAGCUGUGUCUUAGCAUAAUUGGGGGCACCAUUGGACGAAUCUCCAGCACAGCAGAAGUUCUUGGGGCUGUGCAUAAGGAGGCCAAAGUGAGCCGUGCAGUGGAGCUGAUGGUGGCUCAUGUAGAGAAUCUAAAGUGUCGUCAUGAGAGAAACAGUGCUGAACUGGAGGAGAUAAAGAAACAGGUGGAGAAAAGUAGCAUAAAGGAACAGGCAUGUGAGCAGAGAGAGGAAAUUGAAGCAACUGAAAAGAUGGAAAAGGAAUCACAAAAGCCACAUUUACGGCGUAGAAUCAGCAUAAAUGUCAUCUCAAAGCAAGACCAGGCAAGUAUUUCCAGAGGAGAAUUCCUUACAGACUGCUGACAAUAAAGCACCAAAGGAGACAUCCUCUCUUGCGUCUGCUCAAACUCAUUCUAAACAAAUCCCAAGAUAUGAGACAGACCCACACUGUGUAAACAAGUAAGCAACCUUAUACAUAGACACACGCAUAUUCCUGUUGAAAGUCAUGGAGAAACUCUUUUGAGAAGAAAUUCUUACAAAAGCAUUGCAAAUCAUAUUAAUACUUUAAUGUAAGCUUAAAGACAUCUAUAAACCAUAUGCAUUUGAUUUACACGUAUGCAUUUGGGAUGUACAUUUAUCAGGCCAUGUGUUCCCAGGGAAUUAAACCUAUGACCAUGGUGUUGCUAGCGCUAUUCUCUAACAGUUGAGCUACAUGAUGCUAAUGACAUUUGAUGCUAAUUAAUUACAUUUGAUGCUAAUAUUCAGAAAUCUUAAAUGUCUGCUACAGUCAAAUAGUUUUUAACUACUACUUUUAACUAUUUCAUAUUUAUUAAAAUACCAGAAAUGCCAGUUCACCAGUAGCAUUACAUCAUCAAAGGAGGAAAGCAGCAGGCCUGGAGCGUAGCCACGCCUGGCUUAAGAGAUCAGAGAGCUACCUCAGAAACUGCGAUAGAUGUGUCAUUAGCUUACAGCGCCCCCUGAUGCAGUG
This is an RNA transcript of Myxocyprinus asiaticus (Chinese sucker), 2938 nucleotides long. It is a transcript of the gene named inositol 1,4,5-triphosphate receptor associated 2, with no coding region annotated. The record is from RefSeq and is a predicted model, not a curated record. The transcript has 11 exons. NCBI's taxonomy places the organism in Eukaryota, Metazoa, Chordata, Actinopteri, Cypriniformes, Catostomidae.